RNAcentral lists this ribosomal RNA (253 nucleotides) under uncultured bacterium. RNAcentral's name for it is "partial 16S ribosomal RNA". It matches the Rfam family "Bacterial small subunit ribosomal RNA", at positions 524 to 776 of the family's 1533-position model. The record is from RNAcentral.
UACAGAGGUCCCAAGCGUUGUUCGGAUUUACUGGGCUUAAAGGGUGCGCAGGCGGUCAGAUAAGUCGGGUGUGAAAUCCCAAGGCUUAACCUUGGAACUGCGCCCGAAACUGUCUGGCUCGAGGAUUGGAGAGGAGACUGGAAUUCACGGUGUAGCGGUGAAAUGCGUAGAUAUCGUGAGGAACACCAACGGCGAAGGCAGGUCUCUGGACAAUUCCUGACGCUCAUGCACGAAAGCCAGGGGAGCAAACGGG